GCCAUUGAUGUGAGAGGCCAUUACUGUCCAUAGCACCCACAAGCUUUCCACCAAUGAAGACCACAUGAUUAAAAUUUUACAAAAGCAAUGCAAACAAUUAAUCAAAAACCAUUCCAGUAGUAGAAUCACCAGAGGUAGGUUAAUUGUAUAUAGAACAAAAAAUUCACACACUCCAAUAUAAACCUUACACAGCCAGCCAACAAAACCAAGCACAUGACCAACAAUACCAACCGAAUCCAAUACCACAAAGACGCUAACUUUUUCGAGAAAAAGGGCUCCACCAGCCCUUCAAACCCCUCCGCCGAUCCGCAAUCGCCAUGAUCACCCCUCAACUUCACAUAGUCCCCUUUGUCAUCUUCACCCCAAAUUCUCAUAAUCAGCUCCUGCACCACAUAUCCCCGAUCCUCACGUUCAUCAUAGGUCAAUGAAAAACCUAGGACUUUGGCCGCACAAAUACCAAUUGGCCCCCUUUUCAGUUAGAAACUAUGAGAAAUUUGGGGGAUUUGGAGCCCUAGGAGAGAGAGUGUGGCGAAUGUGAGGGGUUUGGUGAUCAAUCAGAGAGUCGCAUGGCCAUGAAGACUAGUAGAUGCACAGAGGCAAUCAAUGGAAUCAAUGGGCUCGUCUCUCUAUGUAUGGGUUGCAGGAACAGGAAAGAGAGAGAGAGAGAGAGAGGGA
RNAcentral lists this long non-coding RNA (675 nucleotides) under Prunus dulcis (almond). RNAcentral's name for it is "sRNA ncRNA". The record is from RNAcentral. Lineage: Eukaryota; Viridiplantae; Streptophyta; Magnoliopsida; Rosales; Rosaceae.